CCGCACGAGCGCACCCUUGCCCUAUGUUGCCAGCGGAUCAUGCCGGGGACUCAUGGGGGACUGCCGGUGAUAAACCGGAGGAAGGUGGGGACGACGUCAAGUCAUCAUGGCCCUUACGCCCAGGGCUACACACGUGCUACAAUGGCCGGCACAAAGGGCUGCCAACCUGCGAAGGUGGGCGAAUCCCAAAAAGCCGGUCUAAGUUCGGAUUGUAGUCUGCAACUCGACUGCAUGAAGUCGGAAUCGCUAGUAAUCGUGUAUCAGCAACGACACGGUGAAUACGUUCCCGGGCCUUGUACACACCGCCCGUCAAGCCAUGGAAGCUGGGAGUGCCCGAAGUCUGUGACCCAACCUAGUGAGGGAGCAGCCGAAGGUAAGUUCGGUGACUGGGGCUAAGUCGUAACAAGGUAGCCGUAGGGGAACCUGCGGCUGGAUCACCUCCUUU
RNAcentral lists this ribosomal RNA (445 nucleotides) under uncultured Gammaproteobacteria bacterium. RNAcentral describes it as "bacterial SSU rRNA". It matches the Rfam family "Bacterial small subunit ribosomal RNA", at positions 1087 to 1533 of the family's 1533-position model. Lineage: Bacteria; Pseudomonadati; Pseudomonadota; Gammaproteobacteria. The record is from RNAcentral.